RNAcentral lists this ribosomal RNA (443 nucleotides) under Onitis caffer. RNAcentral's name for it is "partial 16S ribosomal RNA". It matches the Rfam family "Bacterial large subunit ribosomal RNA", at positions 1819 to 2523 of the family's 2925-position model. Lineage: Eukaryota; Metazoa; Arthropoda; Insecta; Coleoptera; Scarabaeidae. The record is from RNAcentral.
GUCUUUUUGAUAAUAAUUUAAAGUCUGACCUGCCCUAUGAUUUAUUAUUAAAUGGCCGCGAUACUUUGAUCGUGCAAAGGUAGCAUAAUAAUUAGUUUUUUAAUUGAGAACUGGUAUGAACGGUUGGACGAGGGAAAGGCUGUCUCAGUUUAAUUUAAAUUAGAAUUUUAUAUUUAAGUAAAAAAGCUUAAAUGUAUUUAAAAGACGAGAAGACCCUAUAGAGUUUUAUAUAAGAUUAUAUUUUUAUUAGUUGAAGUAUUAAUAAUUUUAUAAAUUAAUUUUGUAUUUAGUUGGGGUGACUAAAAAAUUAAAAUAACUUUUUUUAUUAAUUUUACAUUGAUUUAUGAAUGAGUGAUCCAUAUUUUAUGAUUAAAAGAUUAAAUUACCUUAGGGAUAACAGCGUUAUUUUUCUUGAGAGUUCUUAUCGAAAGAAAAGUUUGCGA